Molecule: non-coding RNA, 970 nt
Organism: Peromyscus maniculatus bairdii (prairie deer mouse)
Lineage: Eukaryota; Metazoa; Chordata; Mammalia; Rodentia; Cricetidae
Source: RefSeq, a predicted model, not a curated record
CCACGGCCGCCAUCCGCUCCCUCGGGUCCUGCCCGGCUUCCCUCGCGAUGGAAACAAACCCUCGCCUCCCGAGGCGCUUUCGGUCACAGCGACAGAAACCCUCGGACGGGAUCCUGCUCCCAGGGUGACCCACGGCCACGAGUGGAGACGCCAGCAGGUGGCGUCUUGGGCCCGGGUGCACACAGAAGGCCCUGGAGACCGGGGUCUGGAUUAGAGUCGGUGGCCACAGCGUGUGGCCUCACAGUUCUGUGCCCGCCGCAGGUUCUCAGCGGAUGCGGACCAAUGGUCUCAAGUUACCAUGCGGCCUCUGCAGAGAGAGCGAAGGGGUGGAGGCAGAUCCAAGGCCUUGCGGCUGGCGCUCACCAAGUGUCCCUGAAGGCCAGAAGAGGGCGCUGGAUCCCCUGGAGCUGGGUUUACAACGGAUUAGGUGAGGCCUGACACAGGGGCCAGGAUGAGAACUCAGGUGCAGCGGAAUUCAGGGCAGCAAGUUGUCCACUGAGCAUCUCUCCGGCCUCCCCGCCCUUCCUAAGAGAUCAACGGCAAACAACACAGGCAUGCCUGGAGAGAUAAACCGAAACAAAACCUACCAUACAGAAAACGCAGGGGACACCGGCGAGCAAAGCUGUCGUAAACUCUGGGUGGAACCAACUUCUCACAGCAACAUAGAAAGAACUGAAAGUCCCUCCCCCCUCCAGAGCCCACCUCCGCUCGGCACCCACACAUUUCUUCCUUCGCUUGUUUCCCGGAUAGAUACCUUAUUUUUCUUCUUCUUCUUCUUCUUCUUCUUCUUCUUCUUCUUCUUCUUCUUCUUCUUCUUCUUCUUCUUCUUCUUCUUCUUCUUCUUCUUCUUCUUCUUCUUCUUCUUCUUCUUCUUCACAAAAACUUACCUUUCAGACAGGCGAGGUGAGCAAGCCUGAGAUGCCCGGCGAGGCUCAGGCAGGAGCCUGGAGAGCUACGGGCCAGCUGGGGC